Molecule: transfer RNA, 78 nt
Filed under: Actinomycetes bacterium
Lineage: Bacteria; Bacillati; Actinomycetota; Actinomycetes
Description: Actinobacteria bacterium tRNA-Val
Rfam family: tRNA
About the family: Transfer RNA (tRNA) molecules are approximately 80 nucleotides in length. Their secondary structure includes four short double-helical elements and three loops (D, anti-codon, and T loops). Further hydrogen bonds mediate the characteristic L-shaped molecular structure. tRNAs have two regions of fundamental functional importance: the anti-codon, which is responsible for specific mRNA codon recognition, and the 3' end, to which the tRNAs corresponding amino acid is attached (by aminoacyl-tRNA synthetases). tRNAs cope with the degeneracy of the genetic code in two manners: having more than one tRNA (with a specific anti-codon) for a particular amino acid; and 'wobble' base-pairing, i.e. permitting non-standard base-pairing at the 3rd anti-codon position.
Source: RNAcentral
GGGCGCGUAGCUCAGCCUGGUUAGAGCGCCUGCUCGACACGCAGGAGGUCACAGGUUCAAGUCCUGUCGCGCCCACGA